Molecule: ribosomal RNA, 253 nt
Filed under: uncultured bacterium
Lineage: Bacteria
Description: partial 16S ribosomal RNA
Rfam family: Bacterial small subunit ribosomal RNA
Source: RNAcentral
UACGUAGGGUGCAAGCGUUGUCCGGAAUUAUUGGGCGUAAAGAGCUCGUAGGCGGCUUGUUGCGUCGGCUGUGAAAUCCCGAGGCUCAACCUCGGGCCUGCAGCCGAUACGGGCAGACUAGAGUUCGGCAGGGGAGACUGGAAUUCCUGGUGUAGCGGUGAAAUGCGCAGAUAUCAGGAGGAACACCGGUGGCGAAGGCGGGUCUCUGGGACGAUACUGACGCUGAGGAGCGAAAGCGUGGGGAGCGAACAGG